UACAGAGGUCUCAAGCGUUGUUCGGAUUCAUUGGGCGUAAAGGGUGCGUAGGCGGCGCGGUAAGUCGGGUGUGAAAUCUCGGAGCUUAACUCCGAAACUGCAUUCGAUACUGCCGUGCUUGAGGACUGGAGAGGAGACUGGAAUUUACGGUGUAGCGGUGAAAUGCGUAGAUAUCGGAAGGAAGACCAGUGGCGAAGGCGGGUCUCUGGACCAUUCCUGACGCUGAGGCACGAAGGUCAGGGGAGCAAACGGG
Molecule: ribosomal RNA, 253 nt
Filed under: uncultured bacterium
Lineage: Bacteria
Description: partial 16S ribosomal RNA
Rfam family: Bacterial small subunit ribosomal RNA
Source: RNAcentral